This is a long non-coding RNA of Octopus sinensis (East Asian common octopus), 605 nucleotides long. RefSeq lists it as uncharacterized. The record is from RefSeq and is a predicted model, not a curated record. NCBI's taxonomy places the organism in Eukaryota, Metazoa, Mollusca, Cephalopoda, Octopoda, Octopodidae. The transcript is spliced from 3 exons.
UAUUGUGAGUUGCUGCACCAUCAAGUGGUUUAAUGAUUGGCCUACCGAAGCACUGAAAGAAAUUGCAAAUAGAUACAUCGAAAGCUCAGAAAUGGAAAACUAUUUAGAUGUAGACAUAUAAAAAAUACUUAAGACGAAACUUUCAAGCAAUAUUGUGAACGUGUUUCCGUCUAUUCACUGCACAGUCAAACACUACGCUAAAGAGAUGAUAGGCGACAAAAAAGGAAUAGCAUACUCUCCCUCUAUUUAUCUGGAAUUGAUAAAAGGAUUUAAUUCGCUAUUUCAUGACAAGUUGACGGAUUUGAGUCGAGAAGCCAACAAGUUGAAGAAUGGAUUAUAUAAAAUCGACGACACACGAUCUAAAGUGUCCGUAAUGUCAAAAGAACUUGAAGAAGCCAAGGAAAAUGUUGCUUUAUUCCAGAAGCAAUGCGACGACUAUUUGCUUGUUAUUGUACACCAAAGGAGAGAAGCCGACGAACAACAAAAGUUGGUGUCCACAAAAAGUGAAAAAAUUCAGGAAGAUGAGAAAAAAUGUCAGCACAUGGCGAAUUUGGCACAAAAAGAUUUGAAUGAAGUGUUGCCUCUUUUCGAAGAGGCUAUAAAAG